This 29-nucleotide non-coding RNA is filed under the name Macaca fascicularis (crab-eating macaque). Lineage: Eukaryota; Metazoa; Chordata; Mammalia; Primates; Cercopithecidae. RNAcentral also lists the same sequence under 1 other name. The record is from RNAcentral.
UCCCAAGAGUGUGUUCUGUGUGGAUGGAA